Molecule: ribosomal RNA, 253 nt
Filed under: uncultured Leptotrichia sp.
Lineage: Bacteria; Fusobacteriati; Fusobacteriota; Fusobacteriia; Fusobacteriales; Leptotrichiaceae
Description: partial 16S ribosomal RNA
Rfam family: Bacterial small subunit ribosomal RNA
Source: RNAcentral
CGGUGUGAGUAACUCGUAAAGAACUUGCCCUUUAGACUGGGAUAACAGAGGGAAACUUCUGAUAAUACUGGAUAAGUUAGUAUAUCGCAUGAUAUGCAAAUGAAAGCUACGGCACUAAAGGAGAGCUUUGCGUCCUAUUAGCUAGUUGGUAAGGUAAGAGCUUACCAAGGCGAUGAUAGGUAGCCGGCCUGAGAGGGUGGACGGCCACAAGGGGACUGAGAUACGGCCCUUACUCAUACGGGAGGCAGCAGCA